AACGUAGGAGGCAAGCGUUAUCCGGAGUUACUGGGCGUAAAGCGCAUGUAGGCGGUUGGACAAGUUGAGUGUGAAAGCUCCCGGCUAAACUGGGAGAGGACAUUCAAGACUGUUCGACUAGAGGAUGGUAGAGGGGCGUAGAAUUCCGGGUGUAGCGGUGAAAUGUGUAGAGAUCCGGAGGAACACCGGUGGCGAAGGCGGCUUCCUGGACUGACACUGACGCUGAGGCGCGAAAGCUAGGGGAGCAAACGGG
Molecule: ribosomal RNA, 253 nt
Filed under: uncultured bacterium
Lineage: Bacteria
Description: partial 16S ribosomal RNA
Rfam family: Bacterial small subunit ribosomal RNA
Source: RNAcentral